Molecule: long non-coding RNA, 699 nt
Organism: Numida meleagris (helmeted guineafowl)
Lineage: Eukaryota; Metazoa; Chordata; Aves; Galliformes; Numididae
Exons: 2
Source: RefSeq, a predicted model, not a curated record
ACAUAUUUUUUUCUAUUGCUCUUGCUAAUUACUAAAGCAAUUUUUAAAAUUUAAAUGAGGGCUUCCUCCCUCACAGCCCAUCUGCUGUGAAAUCAUCACACGCAUCCUUUUGUGACAGCUCAGGCAUUACCAUGGCAACACACUGUGAUGCGAUCAACCCUGAGUUAUGACCUCACUGCAGGACCGGGCAGGCUGGGCUGCUCUGGAGGAGGAACAAAAGUACCCCCUGCAUCAAGCCAAAUGGGCUCUGUGCUUUGAGACAGUGGGAUUUGUCCUGGAGCAGGGAGGUGAGAGCCCUCCCCAGGAUUUGCUGCAGGACUCCAGUGCUGGGCUGGGGCAGCAUCCAGCCAUAGAUGAAAAGCGCUGGAGACCAAACUCCCUAUUUACUGCUGGGAAUUGGGUACCGCAUGGCCUCUGGCAAUGCAUGCUUCACCUCUGCACCCUGCGGCUUUGCCCGGGCUCCAUCCAGCAGAUAAGAGGGCUGGGACAGCGGUUCUGCUUCCCAGGGUAUUCAUCCUCUGCCUCCCACUGAGCCUGACGCUGAGGGUGACAACUGUCGCAACUCUUUGUGGACAACUGGAGGGGAUUAGUGACCAAAGGCUGCCCCGCAGGUGUCACCGCCAGCGUUACCCAUUCUUAAUUAACCAAAGAGCUAGAUCAGAGCCCCUGCUUCAAAGUAAAGGAUUUUGUUUUCUUGUC